GGCCGGGUGGCGGAACGGCAUACGCAAUCGACUUAGAAUGCGCUUGGGGGACACCCCCAAUGCGGGUUCGAUUUCCGCCCCGAGCACCU
This 89-nucleotide transfer RNA is filed under the name Lentisphaerae bacterium RIFOXYA12_64_32. RNAcentral's name for it is "tRNA-Leu". Lineage: Bacteria; Pseudomonadati; Lentisphaerota. The record is from RNAcentral. RNAcentral also lists the same sequence under 1 other name.